CCGUCACCCCGCGCAAGGCCUGUCGGUCCCGCUGCUCAGCCCACGGGCCAGAGCCGCGCGCCGGCCUCCGGUGGAGGGCCCCGUUCCCCAGCGAUCGGCCCUUUUCGGAAAUUGGGGGGAAGCUGCAGUACCCAGUAACCGCCUGUAUUGCGGAGGAGAGACAGAAGGUUGUGCCCGAGCACAGGAGAAACUGCAACCUCCCGCAGCCGUCGGGCCCUGCCUGCGGGACUCCCCGAGCUCGCGGGCCGCUGGGGACUGUAGUCUUUGUGGCGCGCCCCCCAGCAGUCUCCACGCCUCCUCUCCUGUCUUUGAACUACAUAUAAACCCCUCGUUUAUAUGAACAGUCUAGGGCUAAACUGAAGUAUAAAUAAAAGGUGUAUGUUGAAUUAACCUACAUGCAUCACGUGCCUACUGUGGACUUGAGUACUUUAUAAUUGGGAAUGUUCCUGGCAGCUUUAUUUGUAAUAGCCCUAAAUUGGAAGCAACCCAGAUGACCUUCAACAGUCGAAUGGUUAAACGAACUGUGGUACAGGAUACCAUAGAAUACAAUUUAGCAAUAAAAAGGAACAAAUUAUUGAUACAUGCGACAAUAGACAAUCGGAUGAAUCUCUAUCCACCUUAUUUUUUAUGUUUACUAUAGACACAAUGGCUUUCUUUCAUAAAAGGAAAAAUGCUAACUAUAUUCAGAUGUUUAAAUACAGCUUUCAACUGAUU
Molecule: long non-coding RNA, 714 nt
Organism: Balaenoptera musculus (blue whale)
Lineage: Eukaryota; Metazoa; Chordata; Mammalia; Artiodactyla; Balaenopteridae
Exons: 3
Source: RefSeq, a predicted model, not a curated record